UUUUAAUGUUUUUGGGGUUGGGGUCAGGCCAUCUUAUGAACAAUGGAUCCGCCGGCAACUUCGCUCGCCAAAUUGCUUGCUUUGUCAUGCGGCGGCUCCUCUCCACCGGGGCCAUGUCUUCCUCUUCCCCUUAUUCGUCGUUCCUACCAGGUAAAAACCCUAGCUCGAUCCGCCUCACGCAUCAGCGGCGACUCAAUGGUGUUCGUUUCUCUUUUCCCACCCGCUUCGUCGUCGUCGGUUCUUCCGUACGCUGCCUUGCCUCAUUCUCACCGGCCGAGCGAAUCAAAGUCCACAACCCCAUCGUUGAGAUGGAUGGCGAUGAGAUGACGAGGGUCAUCUGGAGGAUGAUAAAAGAAAAGCUAAUUUUUCCAUUUCUCGAAUUGGACAUCAAGUACUUCGAUCUGGGCCUCUUGAAUCGUGAUGCCACCGACGAUCGGGUAACCGUAGAAAGUGCCGAGGCAACUCUCAAGCACAAUGUUGCUGUGAAAUGUGCAACAAUUACACCUGAUGAAGCUAGAGUUAAAGAGUUUAAGCUCAAAUCUAUGUGGAGAAGCCCAAAUGGAACAAUAAGGAAUAUUUUAAAUGGAACUGUUUUUCGUGAGCCUAUUCUUUGCUGCAAUGUGCCACGCAUUGUUGCUGGCUGGAAGAAACCUAUAUGUAUUGGUAGACAUGCAUUUGGAGAUCAGUAUCGUGCUACUGACAUGAUUGUAAAAGGUCCUGGAAAGCUUAAAAUGGUUUUUGUCCCUGCAGAUAAAGGUCCACCUGUGGAGCAAGAUGUUUAUGAGUUUAAAGGCUCUGGUAUUGCAUUAUCUAUGUAUAAUGUGGAUGAGUCCAUUCGGGCUUUUGCUGAGUCAUCAAUGUCCAUGGCAUUUGCAAAAAAGUGGCCACUUUACUUAAGCACCAAAAAUACCAUAUUGAAGAAAUACGAUGGCAGGUUUAAGGACAUUUUUCAGGAGGUUUAUGAAGAAAAAUGGAAGUCAAAGUUCGAAGAACAAUCAAUAUGGUAUGAGCAUAGGCUGAUUGAUGACAUGGUAGCUUAUGCAUUGAAAAGCAGUGGUGGUUAUGUGUGGGCCUGCAAAAAUUAUGAUGGAGAUGUCCAGAGUGAUUUCCUCGCCCAAGGAUUUGGUUCGUUGGGCUUGAUGACGUCUGUAUUGUUAUCAUCUGACGGGAAAACAUUAGAAGCUGAAGCAGCACAUGGGACUGUGACUCGCCAUUUUAGGCUCCAUCAGAGAGGACAAGAGACUAGCACGAACAGUAUUGCAUCCAUAUUUGCAUGGACACGUGGUCUUGAGCACAGGGCAGAGCUUGAUAAACAUGAAAAACUACAAGACUUUGUCCAGAAGCUCGAGUCCGCAUGCAUUGAAACAGUGGAGUCUGGUAAAAUGACCAAGGAUCUUGCACUUCUUAUCCAUGGUCCAAGAGUGUCCAGAGAAUUCUACUUGAACACCGAGGAGUUUGUUGAUGCUGUUGCUCAGAACCUUGAAGAGAAGAUCCAAGUAGCAGCAGUUAUUUAAAUGCUUUGUUAGUUUUCAAGAUGGCUGAUGUUUUUUCUCAAAAAAAAAAGAAAAAAAAAAGAGAGAAAAAGAGUUGGCUUUGAAGAGUAAGUCAAAAAGUUACAGCAUCCGAUGAACAUGAAGGCUAUUAAUAAUGAGGUUUUGUCUAUGCAGCAGACGGAUAUCUGAAAAAAAAUAGUUGGUUGUUGCUCUGACAACAUAUCAGGAAUAACAAUGGAAAAACAUUUCAUAAAAUGCCAACUACAGUAUCUUCGCAUCAUACAAGUCAUCUGAACGACGGCAUCGAAGCAAAAAACUGACAGCCAAAUGUUCUGACUGGCUUAAGAAGCCCUUGAAAUCAUUUUGAUCUUUAUCGAAAGCCCCGAAGAUCAGCGUGACAAUGUUUCAUGUCAGAUUAGAUCUAAUUCAAAUUUGAAACUGUAUGGCUCCGAUUCACAUAAUUUUAUUUGUUUAUUUAUAAACUUUGAUUUCAGCUCUAA
Musa acuminata AAA Group (dessert banana) is the source of this 1993-nucleotide RNA transcript. It is a transcript of the gene named isocitrate dehydrogenase [NADP]-like, with no coding region annotated. The transcript is spliced from 16 exons. The record is from RefSeq and is a predicted model, not a curated record. Lineage: Eukaryota; Viridiplantae; Streptophyta; Magnoliopsida; Zingiberales; Musaceae.